RNAcentral lists this long non-coding RNA (393 nucleotides) under Elaeis guineensis (African oil palm). Its description in RNAcentral is "long non-coding RNA (EGUI_LNC059541)". The record is from RNAcentral. Lineage: Eukaryota; Viridiplantae; Streptophyta; Magnoliopsida; Arecales; Arecaceae.
AAAUCAACUAUCUAUAGAUUUAGUUCAUAUGAUGAUAAAUAAGAAAUAAAGUAUCUAAUUUUAGAGAAUAAAAAUUAAUUUAUAAUCAUAUCACAUACCUGAAUCGCAGAACUUCUUCUCGAAUCCAGAUUUGUGGAUGCUUUCAGGUUUUGAUGUAGCCACGUAUGUAUCCGACCUUUACGGAUAUCUACAUGAGGUCUGAUCUGAUCGAAGAUUCUUUGUUCUCUCUGAGGUACUAGCUCUCUUGUAGAGAAUAUUUUUUUGAUGAUGGAACAUGAUCUCCUUCAAUCUUCAAGACAAUCUCAAGAAGGAAGAAGACAAGGUGUAGGAGGAAGAAGAUUUGGAGAGGAGAGAACCUUUCUCUCUUUCUCCCUUGAAUUUUUUCAUGCCCCC